RNAcentral lists this transfer RNA (67 nucleotides) under Trapezia septata. RNAcentral describes it as "tRNA-Ile". The record is from RNAcentral. Lineage: Eukaryota; Metazoa; Arthropoda; Malacostraca; Decapoda; Trapeziidae.
UAUAUAGUGCCUGAUAAAAGGAUAGCUUUGAUAGAGCUAAUAAUGUGUCUAACCCUCACCUAUAUAA